RNAcentral lists this transfer RNA (56 nucleotides) under Vibrio cholerae. RNAcentral describes it as "tRNA-Gly". It matches the Rfam family "tRNA", at positions 8 to 61 of the family's 71-position model. From Rfam's summary of the family: Transfer RNA (tRNA) molecules are approximately 80 nucleotides in length. Their secondary structure includes four short double-helical elements and three loops (D, anti-codon, and T loops). Further hydrogen bonds mediate the characteristic L-shaped molecular structure. tRNAs have two regions of fundamental functional importance: the anti-codon, which is responsible for specific mRNA codon recognition, and the 3' end, to which the tRNAs corresponding amino acid is attached (by aminoacyl-tRNA synthetases). tRNAs cope with the degeneracy of the genetic code in two manners: having more than one tRNA (with a specific anti-codon) for a particular amino acid; and 'wobble' base-pairing, i.e. permitting non-standard base-pairing at the 3rd anti-codon position. Lineage: Bacteria; Pseudomonadati; Pseudomonadota; Gammaproteobacteria; Vibrionales; Vibrionaceae. RNAcentral also lists the same sequence under 1 other name. The record is from RNAcentral.
UAGCUCAGUUGGUAGAGCGCAACCUUGCCAAGGUUGAGGUCACGAGUUCGAACCUC